Molecule: transfer RNA, 76 nt
Filed under: Methanomassiliicoccales archaeon
Lineage: Archaea; Methanobacteriati; Thermoplasmatota; Thermoplasmata; Methanomassiliicoccales
Also listed under: 2 other names
Description: tRNA-Glu
Rfam family: tRNA
About the family: Transfer RNA (tRNA) molecules are approximately 80 nucleotides in length. Their secondary structure includes four short double-helical elements and three loops (D, anti-codon, and T loops).
Source: RNAcentral
GCUCCUGUGGUGUAGCGGCCAAUCAUGGAGCCCUCUCGAGGCUCCGACACGGAUUCGAAUUCCGUCAGGAGCACCA